CGCACUAGUCACUUUGCCUAUAUGGUAAAUGUGAGAUGCAGUGUAUGGGAUAUCAAAUUUCUAGUAUGAUAUAUUGACGAUUUAAGUCCUUCUUAAAUGAGGCCAUUUACCCAUAGAGGGUGCUAGGCCCGUAUAACGUUAAUGAUUACUAGAUGAUAUUUCCAAAGAGUCGUGUUGCUUGAUAGUGCAGCACUAAGUGGGUGGUAAACUCCAUCUAAAACUAAAUAUAACCAUGAGACCGAUAGUAAACAAGUACCGUGAGGGAAAGUUGAAAAGAACUCUGAAUAGAGAGUUAAAUAGUACGUGAAACUGCUUAGAGGUUAAGCCCGAUGAACCUGAAUAUCCAUUAUAGAAAAUUCAUCAUCAUGAUAAUAAUAUUUAUUACAUAUUAUUUAUAAUGGUGUGCAUUUUUUCUAUUAAGGACAUUGUAAUCUAUUAAUAUAAAAAUUAUAUAUUUAUCAUAAGAUCAUAAUGCUUAAAAGAUUAUUUAAAUUAUUUUGCUUGCAAUAUAACAUAGAAUAAAAGCAUUUGAUUUGAUAAAGUGUUGAUAGAUUUAUAAAAUAUGGUGCUUAAAUAUAAAUUAAUGUAUUUUAUAAUAGCAUACAUAAAUAAUUACAUUUAUUAUGUUUAUUAUAUGCACUAUAUAUGAUUAACAAUGCGAAAGAUUCAGGAUACCUUCGGGACCCGUCUUGAAACACGGACCAAGGAGUCUAACAUAUUUGCAAGUUAUUGGGAAUAAAAACCUAAUAGCGUAAUUAACAUAACUUAAUAUAUAUGGGAUUAGUUUUUAGUCUAUUUUUUUUAAAAUAGCCUAUUAAUUCAAUCCCGGGGCGUUCUAUCCAGUUAUGUAUAAUAAUAUAUUCAUAUUAUUUAUACCUCUAACUUGAGCGUACCUUGAGCAUAUAUGCUGUGACCCGAAAGAUGGUGAACUAUACUUGAUCAGGUUGAAGUCAGGGGAAACCCUGAUGGAAGACCGAAACAGUUCUGACGUGCAAAUCGAUUGUCAGAAUUGAGUAUAGGGGCGAAAGACCAAUCGAACCAUCUAGUAGCUGGUUCCCUCCGAAGUUUCCCUCAGGAUAGCUGGUGCAUUUAAAAAUUAUAAGAUAUAAUCUUAUCUGGUAAAGCGAAUGAUUAGAGGCCUUAGGGUCGAAACGACCUUAACCUAUUCUCAAACUUUAAAUGGGUAAGAACCUCACCUUUCUUGGUAUGAAGGUUGUGGUUAUGAUAUAAUGUGCCCAGUGGGCCACUUUUGGUAAGCAGAACUGGCGCUGUGGGAUGAACCAAACGUAAUGUUACGGUGCCCAAAUUAACAACUCAUGCAGAUACCAUGAAAGGCGUUGGUUGCUUAAAA
RNAcentral lists this ribosomal RNA (1351 nucleotides) under Cylindromyia binotata. Its description in RNAcentral is "eukaryotic LSU rRNA". It matches the Rfam family "Eukaryotic large subunit ribosomal RNA", at positions 110 to 1237 of the family's 3401-position model. The record is from RNAcentral. Lineage: Eukaryota; Metazoa; Arthropoda; Insecta; Diptera; Tachinidae.